AGACAGGUGCUGCAUGGCUGUCGUCAGCUCGUGUCGUGAGAUGUUGGGUUAAGUCCCGCAACGAGCGCAACCCUUGUCAUUAGUUGCUACAUUCAGUUGGGCACUCUAAUGAGACUGCCGGUGACAAACCGGAGGAAGUGGGGAUGACGUCAAAUCAUCAUGCCCCUUAUGACCUGGGCUACACACGUGCUACAAUGGGCGGUACAAAGGGUCGCGAACCCGCGAGGGGGAGCCAAUCCCAAAAAGCCGCUCUCAGUUCGGAUUGCAGGCUGCAACUCGCCUGCAUGAAGCCGGAAUCGCUAGUAAUCGCGGAUCAGCAUGCCGCGGUGAAUACGUUCCGGGCCUU
Molecule: ribosomal RNA, 346 nt
Filed under: uncultured Anoxybacillus sp.
Lineage: Bacteria; Bacillati; Bacillota; Bacilli; Caryophanales; Anoxybacillaceae
Description: bacterial SSU rRNA
Rfam family: Bacterial small subunit ribosomal RNA
Source: RNAcentral